AUGACAUGUCAUCCCAACAUUGCCGCUGUGGGCUGUUAAUCAGAUGGCAACCCGCUUGAAUCCACGUAUAUGAACAGAAGAGAUUACAUUGGACACAACAGUCGGCCAUUUUAUAAGAUGUGUGCAGUACUUUUACAGGUCCUGUUCGCUGAGUGAGAGUCUAAUUAUGCAGCACAACCGUGUGAUUAUAGUAUAAUCACACAGUCUAACAGGUUGUUCACUUCUGACUGGUCGUUGAUUUUGAAGCAUUUUUAGUUCCGUGCCUACUGAAAACAGCCCAGACUCCUUUGUGAAAAGCAAGACGUACAGAAAAUAACAGACUCCGGUUUAAAAGGAUUCAUCAAAUCAGUUUUAUUUUUCUUUAAGGGGUGUCUGAUUUCACAAGUUCCAACAAAAUAAUUCCUCUCAAAUAAUGCUUAGGUUAUUUAAUUUAUGAGCCCAUUCUCUUUUCAGAUAAGAAAUUCCUCAAGAAGGGCACACUACAAACCAAAACAAUGUAUAUAUGUAUAUAUCAAAUCAGAUAUAUAAAUAUAUAUGAAAGAAAAUCUGAUUAUGUUAUCAAAAAUAACAGGAGGCAGGGAGUGUUGAAGGUUGUGAAGAAGCUGCAUUUAUAGUAAAUGACAAAGCCCAGAGAUAACAUGGAGACAGACUAGUAGGACGACAGUCCCUUUCAGGAUAGAAUACGUUAACAUACACUGUGUAAUGACAGAGAGACAGAGACAGCGGUCUGAAUCCAAAAACAACAAAGCACAGCAAACAAAUUCUAAACUUCAGUAUAGUAUAAAAAUGUAACCAAAUUGUGACAAUUGUAGAGAGAAACACACCAGAAGACCCCUGAAGGAGUGGACACACAUUUUGCCUUAAAAAAAAGAAGAUACAAGUAUGGGGACUCCAUACACAGGAUCCAUACACAGUGCUGUUCUAAUGGGAGAAUGGAGGUAUGCAAUGCAAUGGAUAAAACCUGGCACGUCCUUGUCUGAUAACGCCCCAAGGGUUUGCUUUUGUUUUUGACCUCAGAAGAAAUACAGCCACAACCUGUAAACACUGCCUGCCAGCUCUAGGUGAAUACACCAAGCUUUGAGGGUAUCACAAACAGAUCUCUCCAAGGCACUGGAUACCAAUUUAGAUCACUAUAUCCAGGGCCUGUUUUUUUUUUAUCUUUAAUUUAUCCAUCUGGAUUUUGGCUGCCGGACUGAAUGAAGUGCAUCAGAAUAGAGUAAACACAACAGGAGUCCCCAUUCAAGUCAAUUUGUCUGUUAUAUAUUUUUUUCUAUUUCUAUGCAUGUAGUCCUAUCUGAAAGGCAAACUCCAAUGGAUUGUCCCAAAACUUCUAAUAAAUCUGGACAACACAUAAUUUGCCCCAAGUCCUAAUUCAAUCUAGUGUAAUUGUAAUUUUUUCACGAUUGUUGAUUUACAUUUUUAUCAUGAACGUCAUUGGCCCAGUUAAUGACAUUUUAUUAGCUUUUUGUUUUUACAACUCGAUUUCAGUCUUCAUUUAAAUCCACUGGCUUCCAGUCAGAGAGCCACACCCUUGACCCCCUCCGCCCAGACCCUUGAGAGUCCCUUGAUAAAAGGGACUGGCCCUGUAUGGAUAUGUGUCAAAUCAAAGCAGCGAAAGUCUGUCUUUAGUUAGCCCAAGAUGGUAAGCCCUCACUGAGGUAUGAGUGGUGGACAUCCCCCCCAAAGAGGACCAGGCUGGAGGAAGGACAAAGAUGACAACGUGAGAUGGGAUGGAUGACAAGGGUCACAUACCCAGGGAAUGGGAGGAGAUCUACAGUUGAUUUGUGCUACAACGGUGACUAGAUUAAGAUUAACAGCUAUUUCUUGUCAAGGAUUCUAUGAUUUACAUGGUUGACUAAAGUGCCUGACAAUCUUUGGUCUACCAACCCUACAGGUUGCAAUACCGCAAGCCAUGUCAGAAUGCAUUUGGAAGAAAGCAAAGAAGAAAAUCAAAAACAGCAAAAGCAGAAAAACAGCACACCAUUCCAGGUAUUUUCAUAUCUCAAAAUUCAUUGUUUUCAUAACUCUUUUUUUCACUCACAGUCUCACCAUUUUAAAAUAAAUCUCUAAGUUAUACAGAUAUAAUGUUAAGAUCUUCACCAAACCCUGAGCAAAGAGAGAAACCUCUGAGGCCAAACAAGACUUCAUUACAGAAAAUAAAAACGUCAUCUUUCCGGUAUGAGAACUGAUGUAAAAAUGAUUUUUCUGGAUAUGUUUUAAACAUGCUAACCCUUAAACCCUGUGAACAAGAAAAUUCAGGCUCUGGAUUGGAUGUUAGGUCAGGGCAGGGUAAGUGUCAGUGUAUCAGAAUACUUGUUCUAUAAUGUGACUCGUUACACAAGUAAACAUUUCAAAUUCCUAUAGCCGUGAGUCUCUCUCACCGUAUCAGGCCACACAACAUCUGUCAAGGGCUUAAAUGUCAAAUCAAUAAAAUAAAAACAGAACAUUUUUAAGAUCAGUGAAAAACAUCUCUAAAAUGUUAAAGUCACCAGUGUGCUAAACUGAACAUUUUUACAGUGGGCUAUCAGAAAGUAUUUGGGUACCGGGUAAAAAAAAUAAAAAUAAAAGUAUAAUGAAAAGGUCAACAAAACAAAUGUGUUUUUGCCACAGCCUUUGUUUGUUUGGUUGACCAUUGCUUUUCUAUUAAAUCUGGCGCACAGUAAGUUUGAGUGUAUGUGUAUUCUAUUUGGACUGUUAAAGUUAACAGGUAAAAUAAUGCAUUAGCGCAAGCAAAACAAAAUGUAUAUCGCUUAAACAUCCACUAUGGGCACAGCCUUGAGCAACAUUUUUCCAAGGUGUUGGUUUAGAAAACAAACAAAAACACAAGUUGUAGCCAACAGAAGCUAACAACUUAUGUUAAAGUUAGGUGGCUAACCAAAAUAACCUUUACAAUGCAUCUUGAUUCUCCUCUAACUUCAAGCAAUUAUUUUAAAUCAGAACAGGACAACCAUUCCAUUUAAAAUGUUUGCUGUAAUUGUCCGGUAGAAAAUGUUAAGCAAAUUAUCCUAACCCCAAAGACAUCAAUAUAACAACAUGUAGAAUUUUGACCAUUGUUCUAAUUCUAGACUUAAAUAUUACACGUGUAAUGUUAUUGGGAAGCUAACAUAGCUGCCAUAGAAUGUUUUACUGUUAUGUAAAUGCAUCUUAACACAGAUACUGCAUUGGCAAACUGCUUUACAUCUAUGUGACAAAUUCUUUAAACAUUAAACCUGGCUCCUUUGAUGAUGGCAAUUCCUCCAGGCCCGGAGACAGCAAAGAAUCCCACUAACACUGUUACAACUUGACAUCUGUGCCAAAGACGUGGUGUUGAAAUAGUUGUAACACACCACCAGGCCGUGUCUUACUACGGAAUAAGGUUUUUGGUUUCCGCCAGACCAAAUGUCAACCACGUUGUUCGAAACGUUCACAAAGAUUGUAAUAAUUCACCUGGAAGCACCUGUCAAGAGUUCUUAAUGAUCUAUGGACUGAUGAUUCAAAGGGGGUUUUAAAAAAAUCAUAUGUUUAGUCCUGUUAUACCAUUCAAAAACCAAACCAAAAACCACAAUAAGAAUGUUACAUCAACAGUCCAACUUGGUGGUGGCUGCAGUGUGAUGAUUCGGUUUUAAUGCCCACAAACUUAUUCAACAUAAACAAAAAACUAAAUCAGGACACGGUCCUAAAGUCAAAAUGUUGCCCUUCCCUGAUUUGGUGAAAGAGGUAAAGAGCGGUGAGACGGCACAGCUCAAUCCAUCUGUAUCAAUGUGCCUCUUCUCGUUUCUUUUGUCUGUCCGUCUGAGGGCCAGACUCACCAUCAGCCCAGUGACACGCCUGAAGGCCAGACUCACCAUCAGCCCAGUGACACGCCUGAAGGCCAGACUCACCAUCAGCCCAGUGACACGCCUGAAGGCCAGACUCACCAUCAGCCCAGUGACACGCCUGAAGGCCAGACUCACCAUCAGCCCAGUGACACGCCUGAAGGCCAGACUCACCAUCAGCCCAGUGACACGCCUGAAGGCCAGACUCACCAUCAGCCCAGUGACAGGCCUGAAGGCCAGACUCACAAUCAGCCCAGUGACACGCCUGAAGGCCAGACUCACCAUCAGCCCAGUGACACGCCUGAAGGCCAAACUCACCAUCAGCCCAGUGACACGGGUGAAGGCCCAGAAUCACCAUUUGUACACGAGGAUUCAAUCUGAAAUGGCACUCCAUCACAGCCUUGGAGUCUGGGCCAAACCAUUCCAACAGUCCUAUCAUUUAGAAGCAGCAGUGAUCAGCUUCCCAACUGUACCCCAGAAUUCUUUGCUCUCCUACUCAAGCACUUACAGAACAAGCUGUCGGUCAGCCAAAACUACAGAGCACUUAACAUUUUCACAGAGCUGCCCCCCCUAUGAAAAGCCAUUAGCCCAGUUUGGCGCUGGACGUGAGGAGAGCAGAGGCGUGCCAAUGCAACCUAACAAUCAGACAAAACAUCUCAGGAUAGGGCAACACUGACAUUACUGACACCAAUGUGCAGAGAUCAGGGGUCUGUGCAUAGAUCAACAGUGCUGGGUGUGCCAAAUAUAACGCAUCCUGACUAGGGCCUUAUUAAGACUUCAACACGUUUACCUAAAAUCGUUAGGAUUUACUGAAACUAAAAUGUAGUCUGUGAAGGUAGGUUUUAAGCAAACAUGUAGCCCCCCGCCACAAACACACCUCCAUUCUCAAAGGGUUCCAAUAGGCCAAGGGCAGCCUUCUUAAAUCUGGUCAGAGUUAAAACUAUAAUAAUCCGCUGAUGAGUGUGUGUGUGUGAGAGAGAGAUAUAAAUGUAAAUCUCAAGUGAAGUUUGAUGGCUUCAGAUGCUUUCAAAGUGCUAACUGACUCUACAGAUGUUUGCUAUCAUCAAGGUUGUCAUCAUAAAAAACUAGAGUUCACAUGGUAAUGAAUUCUCUAAAAACAUACUUAGUUAUUAUUCUGUAUUUACAGCCCUAUGAUUGGUGCUCCAUGCUAGCAGCGCUUAAUGCCAAAAAAAGGCAUCCGUUCCUCAUUGUCACUAUGAACAAAUGCCAUGGAUGGGCACUCUGGCUAAAAUCACCAGCACUUCAAUUUACCAGUAAAUUAGUAAUAAUUAUCUACACAUUAAAAUAAUUUAAUUUAUACAGAAUUAUUGCCCUCAUAGUUGAAGGCUAGUACUAUUUCGAAGACACCAUAAAACUAUGGGAACGUACUCGAGGCCAUAUGGGUUUUGUGGCCAAUAUGUUUAAUAUAUCUAAAAACUGUGCAUUGUAUGAUGGGCUGUUUCCACCCAAGUUGGGGGAAAACUCAAGUCAUCCCCACAACUGGCAAACACGAGGGAACAUAGAAUAUAUUGAGUGUUGCCACCACCAAGCCUCGAUCCUUCUACUGGAAAAUGUUCUGUUUGAAAACAGAGUAUAUUGUUGGAGCAGGGCCGCAUGCAGUUGUGUAGUCAUCCUGCUCCGGCGUCAUGCUGGGAACUUCACCCAUUGUUUUCAUAUCUAAACAUCAUGUUCAUCUCUGCUACAUGGGCUUUUACAUUGUCCUCGCUGUUUUUAACCCAACCCAUUUUAUUGCUCUAACUGGCGCCUCGCAGGCGGUCCCUGGUGGGCACCACGUGACCAUAAAGGGGUGCCCAGUGGGCCACCCCCACUUCCUCCCCUGACUGCUAAUGCCAGAGGGCUGCAUUGACCUAAAUGAGACACCCUCCAGACUCCUUCUGCUGGAGGGCAGCACUGACCUAAAACAAGUAGCCCCCCACACCACAAACUUGACCUUGAGUGACAGUAAUGUCUGCCCUCAUUAAAAGCAGCUUCAGCUGUCACUGUGGCAACCAAGCCAAAGCGGUUACUAACCCACCAAUCCAGUUCCUUCUAAUGCCAUUGCAUCGCUCCCAGUGAAGUCCUGUGUGUGUAAACAUACAGACUAAGCUUUUGCUAAGAUGCUCCCUUGAAGCAGGGAGGACAGAGCGAAUAAUAUACAGAGGCUCCUCCCACAUUGCUGGUGAGUAGUGGAGCUUGUGAUGCCACGGGCCAUGAGUGACACUGAGGGGUGGAGCUUAGACACUUACUGUAAACGGACAUGGCAGGGCAGCAGUGCCGCACACAGAACUCUGUUGGGCCGUAAAAGACAAACCAGGAAGACAGGAUUGGCCGGCGGCGGUAGCCACAGAGACAACAAAUGAGAAGACGGGACAAUGGAGUUUGGACUAAGGUGGGUAAAGGGAGGGGGGGGGAGUCCCACAAUCAAAUCACAUUAAAUGGGUUUUUGUGUAGCAUUGCUGGUGCAAAGAGCUUGUUGCAUUUCUCAUGUAAUCUCUCCUUCAAAUUUGACCGAGGCAUCACCACACCUACUGCACAGUUGCUUUUGGACACCCCACCCUAGUCCUCCACCCCUUGUCCCACCAUCCAGCCUUGUCCCACUGGGUUUGUAUUCCUCCAUCACAGUCCAGUCUAAAGAUGGGGCCUGGGCUGGGUGGACAAAGGCUUCAGAAAAUGGGAAUGGUCAGAAAAUGACACAAAUAAAAUCAUAAUCAACAACAAAUAGAACAAAUCAACCAGUUUUACAGACAUAUUUGUCUAUACUGUAACAGGUCUUCCAAUCAGCAGAAAUACUAGUGAGGGGGGGGGCAUGACCAGGUGACUGUCACAGAACUGGACAGGUCACAUGAACAAAUACGGAGUGCUCACAUCAAGUGUCUUGGUGUGAAAUGUAAAUGUGUUUUUCUGCACAUCCCAAGCGCCCCGCAACCAAGCCCCCCC
Molecule: long non-coding RNA, 6731 nt
Organism: Esox lucius (northern pike)
Lineage: Eukaryota; Metazoa; Chordata; Actinopteri; Esociformes; Esocidae
Source: Ensembl